ACAUAAAUACAUUUUUUUCACAAUCAUUCUCUCAUCAGCGGCGCCGACACACAAACCCUAGAAAUUCGACGACUCAGCGAUCUUCCUCUGACGACUGAAUCGCGUCGUCAACAGGAGCAAAUCGCGCCAUCUCACCCAGAUGGUCGACGAUGGUUAGAAUGGCGGUCAGAAGCUACAGCAAAAAAUCGACGGAUGAAUCGAACAGAAAUCCCUAGAAUGAGAAAUACCGUCAAACCAAACGGUGCAAGACCGAUUUCAGAUUCAGAGACCCAAUGGUCGGGUUGCGACCAUUAGAGAUGGAGAACACGAACGGUCGCAUACUCAAAACCGAAAACAAUGAACGGCAGAAAAGCAAAAUCCUAAACUGGGGCUAAACUGUGCAUUCCAGAUUCAAAAAGGUACACUAUCAUAGACUCGAACGCACCAGACUGUCAAUCAUGGUGAUAAAGGGAGCCAUUACUUAACAAAUGAACCUAUGGGAACAUAUUGUGCAUAAGGAUACUUCAUGGGAACAAAAGUAAGGUCAAACAAAGUUUUCAAAAAAUUGAAGUAAAACAAUUACUUCAGAAAUGCUAAAAUGGUUAUAAACUGUUUACAAAGAAAUAAAACAUAAACCAUGGAUUUGAACAUUGCAUCAUGAAGGCAUAAACAAAGGGACAAAUUGCAUUGGAAACUAAAGAAUGGAUUUGGAAGAAUGGAAAAUAUCAGAAAUAGGCUGCAUCCUACCAAAAAAAAGCAAUAAAAUCUCGGUACAUACAAACUGAUCAAACAUAAGAGCAUCCGCAAUGGCGCCUGUCCCGGCAGACGUCCGCCAUUGUGCAAAGGUGACGCGGAUACGGACGUCCGCUGCGGACACCGGAGUUCCGAGGCGUUCCCGGGACAUCCGUCGCGA
Long non-coding RNA from Salvia splendens (bonfire salvia), 892 nucleotides. RefSeq lists it as uncharacterized. NCBI's taxonomy places the organism in Eukaryota, Viridiplantae, Streptophyta, Magnoliopsida, Lamiales, Lamiaceae. The transcript is spliced from 6 exons. The record is from RefSeq and is a predicted model, not a curated record.